This 298-nucleotide ribosomal RNA is filed under the name uncultured Candidatus Saccharibacteria bacterium. Its description in RNAcentral is "partial 16S ribosomal RNA". It matches the Rfam family "Bacterial small subunit ribosomal RNA", at positions 28 to 351 of the family's 1533-position model. The record is from RNAcentral. Lineage: Bacteria; Candidatus Saccharimonadota.
GAUGAACGCUGGCGGCGUGCCUAAUACAUGCAAGUCGAGCGGUAACACUUCGGGUGACGAGCGGCGGACGGCUGAGUAACACGUAGGAACGUACCCCAAAGUGAGGGAUAAGCACCAGAAAUGGUGUCUAAUACCGCAUGUGCUCUUCGGAGUAAAGCUUCGGCGCUUUGGGAACGGCCUGCGCAUGAUUAGCUUGUUGGUGAGGUAAAAGCUCACCAAGGCGACGAUCAUUAGCUGGUCUGAGAGGAUGAUCAGCCAGACUGGAACUGAGAACGGUCCAGACUCCUACGGGAGGCUG